GUUGCGUUGGCCGAGUAUCUCUUAGUCUGGUCUUCCCCCAAGCUGUGAGGAUAUGAACCUGAGGGUCCCAAGGUGCAAAAGGCUCUGAUGACCUGAGGUCCAUGUGCUCCCCUUGGGGACUCUUGGCUGGAGCUGAAAGGCAGGUAUUGGCUUCAGAUUCCCCACCUUGAUCCCCUGUGUUGUUUUGUUGCUGUGCUCUGUCUCUUUCUAGUUGGCCAGUCGGUGGGCUUGAGUUCCACCUCCAACUCCCUGUAGGAAUGCUGAGAUUUCAGAUACAUGCCGCUGCAUUAAGCUGCUUACGUGGGUCAUCAGGCGUGCAAGCCUGGCAUGGUGGGACCUAUUGGUAAUCUCAGCACUGUGAAAUAGAACCGGGCCUGGGGACCAGCCGGUCAAAUGCACCUGACACGCCCCAGUCCAGGGGAGAACUGUCUCAAAAGGAUGGACAGGUGGCAGCACCUGGAGAACAGGCCUGAAACUGUUUUCUGGCCCCCACACUGGUGUGCACACACGUGCACACGCACCUGCUCUCGUAUACACCUGCACACACAGGCUCGCACA
Myodes glareolus (Bank vole) is the source of this 558-nucleotide non-coding RNA. Lineage: Eukaryota; Metazoa; Chordata; Mammalia; Rodentia; Cricetidae. The record is from RefSeq and is a predicted model, not a curated record.